RNAcentral lists this ribosomal RNA (392 nucleotides) under uncultured bacterium. Its description in RNAcentral is "partial 16S ribosomal RNA". It matches the Rfam family "Bacterial small subunit ribosomal RNA", at positions 523 to 918 of the family's 1533-position model. The record is from RNAcentral.
ACACGUAGGGGCCUGACGUUGUUCGGAAUCAUUGGGCGUAAAGGGCGCGCAGGCGGCCGUCCAAGUCCGGUGUUAAAUGGUCGGGCUCAACCCGAUCAUGCGCUGGAAACUGGGCGGCUGGAGUCCCGGAGGGGAUGCCGGAAUUCCAGGUGUAGGGGUGAAAUCUGUAGAUAUCUGGAAGAACACCGAUGGCGAAGGCAGGCAUCUGGCCGGAGACUGACGCUGAGGCGCGAAGGCGCGGGGAGCGAACAGGUUUAGAUACCCUGGUAGUCCGCGCAGUAAACGAUGCGCACCAGGUGUCGGGCGGCAGCGCCCGGUACCGGAGCAAACGCGAUGAGUGCGCCGCCUGGGGAGUAUGCCCGCAAGGGUGAAACUCAAAUGAAUCGACGGGG